Molecule: ribosomal RNA, 449 nt
Filed under: uncultured bacterium
Lineage: Bacteria
Description: bacterial SSU rRNA
Rfam family: Bacterial small subunit ribosomal RNA
Source: RNAcentral
AACGAACGCUGGCGGCAUGCCUAACACAUGCAAGUCGAACGAGACCUUCGGGUCUAGUGGCGCACGGGUGCGUAACGCGUGGGAACCUGCCUUUAGGUUCGGAAUAACUCAGAGAAAUUUGAGCUAAUACCGGAUAAUGUCUUCGGACCAAAGAUUUAUCGCCUUUAGAUGGGCCCGCGUAAGAUUAGCUAGUUGGUGGGGUAAAGGCCUACCAAGGCGACGAUCUUUAGCUGGUCUGAGAGGAUGAUCAGCCACACUGGGACUGAGACACGGCCCAGACUCCUACGGGAGGCAGCAGUGGGGAAUAUUGGACAAUGGGCGAAAGCCUGAUCCAGCAAUGCCGCGUGAGUGAUGAAGGCCUUAGGGUUGUAAAGCUCUUUACCCGAGAUGAUAAUGACAGUAUCGGGAGAAUAAGCUCCGGCUAACUACGUGCCAGCAGCCGCGGUAAU